RNAcentral lists this ribosomal RNA (253 nucleotides) under uncultured bacterium. RNAcentral's name for it is "partial 16S ribosomal RNA". It matches the Rfam family "Bacterial small subunit ribosomal RNA", at positions 524 to 776 of the family's 1533-position model. The record is from RNAcentral.
UACGAAGGGGGCUAGCGUUGCUCGGAAUUACUGGGCGUAAAGCGCACGUAGGCGGGUUGUUAAGUCGGGGGUGAAAUCCUGGAGCUCAACUCCAGAACUGCCUUCGAAACUGGCGAUCUUGAGUCCGGGAGAGGUGAGUGGAACUGCGAGUGUAGAGGUGAAAUUCGUAGAUAUUCGCAAGAACACCAGUGGCGAAGGCGGCUCACUGGCCCGGUACUGACGCUGAGGUGCGAAAGCGUGGGGAGCAAACAGG